This 273-nucleotide unclassified non-coding RNA is filed under the name uncultured fungus. Its description in RNAcentral is "sequence contains ITS1, 5.8S rRNA gene". The stretch from base 225 to 273 matches the Rfam family "5.8S ribosomal RNA", at positions 1 to 49 of the family's 154-position model. Lineage: Eukaryota; Fungi. The record is from RNAcentral.
UCUCCGUUGGUGAACCAGCGGAGGGAUCAUUAUAGAGUUUUUCAAACUCCCAACCCAUGUGAACUUACCAAUGUUGCCUCGGCAGAGGCUACCCGGUACCUACCCUGGAACGGCCUACCCUGUAGCGCCUUACCCUGGAACGGCUUACCCUGUAACGGCUGCCGGUGGACUACCAAACUCUUGUUAUUUUAUUGUAAUCUGAGCGUCUUAUUUUAAUAAGUCAAAACUUUCAACAACGGAUCUCUUGGUUCUGGCAUCGAUGAAGAACGCAGC